This 301-nucleotide ribosomal RNA is filed under the name uncultured bacterium. RNAcentral's name for it is "partial 16S ribosomal RNA". It matches the Rfam family "Bacterial small subunit ribosomal RNA", at positions 509 to 807 of the family's 1533-position model. The record is from RNAcentral.
CAGUAGCCACGGUAAUACGAAGGGGGCUAGCGUUGUUCGGAUUUACUGGGCGUAAAGCGCACGUAGGCGGAUCGAUCAGUCAGGGGUGAAAUCCCAGAGCUCAACUCUGGAACUGCCUUUGAUACUGUCGAUCUGGAGUAUGGAAGAGGUGAGUGGAAUUCCGAGUGUAGAGGUGAAAUUCGUAGAUAUUCGCAGGAACACCAGUGGCGAAGGCGGCUAACUGGUCCAUAACUGACGCUGAGGUGCGAAAGCGUGGGGAGCAAACAGGAUUAGAUACCCCUGUAGUCCCUGUCUCUUAUAC